Molecule: ribosomal RNA, 320 nt
Filed under: uncultured eukaryote
Lineage: Eukaryota
Description: partial 18S ribosomal RNA
Rfam family: Eukaryotic small subunit ribosomal RNA
Source: RNAcentral
CCCUUAGAUGUCCUGGGCCGCACGCGCGCUACACUGACAUGUUCAACAAGCCUCCUAGUUCGACAGGAUUUGGGAAAUCUUUGAACGCAUGUCGUGAUAGGGAUAGAUCAUUGCAAUUAUUGAUCUUGAACGAGGAAUUCCUAGUAAACGCGAGUCAUCAGCUCGCAUUGAUUACGUCCCUGCCCUUUGUACACACCGCCCGUCGCACCUACCGAUUGAAUGUUUCGGUGAAGAUUCGGAUAGGACUUUUUUGAUUUAUUUCAAUUCUGUCUUAAAAGCUAUCUAAACCUCAACAUUUAGAGGAAGGUGAAGUCGUAACA